Molecule: ribosomal RNA, 254 nt
Filed under: uncultured bacterium
Lineage: Bacteria
Description: partial 16S ribosomal RNA
Rfam family: Bacterial small subunit ribosomal RNA
Source: RNAcentral
UACGUAGGGCGCAAGCGUUAUCCGGAAUUAUUGGGCGUAAAGAGCUCGUAGGCGGUUUGUCGCGUCUGCCGUGAAAGUCCGGGGGCUCAACUCCGGAUCUGCGGUGGGUACGGGCAGACUAGAGUGAUGUAGGGGAGACUGGAAUUCCUGGUGUAGCGGUGAAAUGCGCAGAUAUCAGGAGGAACACCGAUGGCGAAGGCAGGUCUCUGGGCCGAUACUGACGCUGAGGAGCGAAAGCGUGGGGAGCGAACAGG